RNAcentral lists this non-coding RNA (157 nucleotides) under Candidatus Microgenomates bacterium. RNAcentral's name for it is "Microgenomates Daviesbacteria FMN sequence". It matches the Rfam family "FMN riboswitch aptamer (RFN element)". Rfam says of the family: The RFN element is a highly conserved domain that is found frequently in the 5'-untranslated regions of prokaryotic mRNAs that encode for flavin mononucleotide (FMN) biosynthesis and transport proteins. This element is a metabolite-dependent riboswitch that directly binds FMN in the absence of proteins. The record is from RNAcentral. Lineage: Bacteria; Candidatus Microgenomatota.
UCAUUCUUUCGGGGAUUUUGUGUAAGUCAAAAUCGGUGGUAAGUCACGUUCAUGUAAACUGAACGUGAUAAACUCCACGACCCUGUACCAUCUGGUACAGGGAUGAACCGGCGUAACUCCGGUAGCGACCGUAUAGUCGGGAUAAAAGAAAGAAAAC